Molecule: long non-coding RNA, 385 nt
Filed under: Physcomitrium patens
Lineage: Eukaryota; Viridiplantae; Streptophyta; Bryopsida; Funariales; Funariaceae
Description: long non-coding RNA (PPAT_LNC005640)
Source: RNAcentral
AUGGUUCAAGAAGAGACACGUGGAAUACAGGAUGGAUCUUCAUUGACUCCGGUAGAUGUAACCGAUAUGCAACUGGGUUGAUCUGUUCAGAAACAGAAAAGGGGCCAAGCCUACGAUAGUCCAAUUUGUCACAAGGUCGAGUGGUCUUGAUAUUGCGACGAAGUAGCCAUACCUUAUCACCCACGUUGAGUUGUGGUUGCUCUUUACGAUAUACAUCUGCAUUUAUCUUUUGUCGUUCUUGAGCUUUCUUCAAUUGCGCCUUCAUUAUUGCAUGUAACUCUGACAACCGAUUUGCCAUAUCUUCUGCUGCAGGAUUAUCAACUUUUGAAAAAUCAAAAGUAUCAAGUCGUGGAUGAUAGCCAUAAUUGGCAAAGAAAGGUGUUUG